This 497-nucleotide ribosomal RNA is filed under the name uncultured bacterium. Its description in RNAcentral is "partial 16S ribosomal RNA". It matches the Rfam family "Bacterial small subunit ribosomal RNA", at positions 28 to 507 of the family's 1533-position model. The record is from RNAcentral.
GAUGAACGCUGGCGGCGUGCCUAAUACAUGCAAGUCGAGCGAACGGACGAGGAGCUUGCUUCUCUGAUGUUAGCGGCGGACGGGUGAGUAACACGUGGAUAACCUACCUAUAAGACUGGGAUAACUUCGGGAAACCGGAGCUAAUACCGGAUGAUAUUUUGAACCGCAUGGUUCAAUAGUGAAAGACGGUCUUGCUGUCACUUAUAGAUGGAUCCGCGCUGCAUUAGCUAGUUGGUAAGGUAACGGCUUACCAAGGAAACGAUGCAUAGCCGACCUGAGAGGGUGAUCGGCCACACUGGAACUGAGACACGGUCCAGACUCCUACGGGAGGCAGCAGUAGGGAAUCUUCCGCAAUGGGCGAAAGCCUGACGGAGCAACGCCGCGUGAGUGAUGAAGGUCUUCGGAUCGUAAAACUCUGUUAUUAGGGAAGAACAUAUGUGUAAGUAACUGUGCACAUCUUGACGGUACCUAAUCAGAAAGCCACGGCUAACUACGUG